This 433-nucleotide ribosomal RNA is filed under the name uncultured bacterium. RNAcentral describes it as "partial 16S ribosomal RNA". It matches the Rfam family "Bacterial small subunit ribosomal RNA", at positions 29 to 507 of the family's 1533-position model. The record is from RNAcentral.
AACGAACGCUGGCGGCAUGCCUAACACAUGCAAGUCGAACGAGACCUCCGGGUCCUGUGGCGCACGGGUUCGUAACGCGUGGGAUCAUGCCCUUAGGUUCGGACUAACUCCUCGAAAGGGGUGCUAAUACCGGAUAAUGUCUCCGGACCAAAGAUUUAUCGCCUUUGGAUGGGGCCGCGUUGGAUUGGCUGGUUGGUAGGGUAAAAGCCUAACAAGGCGACGAUCCAUAGCUGGUCUGAGAGGAGGAUCAGCCAAACUGAGACUGAGACACGGCACAGACUCCUACGGGAGGCGGCGAUGGGGAAUAUAGGACAGUGGGCGAAAGGCUGAACCAGCAAGGGCGGGAGAGUGAUGAAGGCCUUAGAGUUGUAAAGCUCUUUUACCCGAGAUGAUAAUGACGGUACCGGGAGAAUAAGCACCGGCUAACUCCGUG